GACGAACGCUGGCGGCGUGCUUAACACAUGCAAGUCGAACGGAAAGGCCCUGCUUUUGUGGGGUGCUCGAGUGGCGAACGGGUGAGUAACACGUGAGUAACCUGCCCUUGACUUUGGGAUAACUUCAGGAAACUGGGGCUACUACCGGAUAGGAGCUCCUGCUGCAUGGUGGGGGUUGGAAAGUUUCGGCUGUUGGGGAUGGACUCGCGGCUUAUCAGCUUGUUGGUGGGGUAGUGGAUGACCAAGGCUUUGACGGGUAGCCGGCCUGAGAGGGUGACCGGCCACCUGGGGCCUGCGGUACGGACCAGACUCGUACGGUAGGCAGCAGUGGGGAAUAUUGCACAGUGAGCGGACGUCUGAUGCAGCAACGCCGCGUGCGGGAUGACGUCCUUCGGGGUGUAAACCGCUUUCGCCUGUGACGAAGCGUGAGUGACGGUAAUGGGUAAAGAAGCACCGGCUAACUACGUG
Molecule: ribosomal RNA, 468 nt
Filed under: uncultured bacterium
Lineage: Bacteria
Description: partial 16S ribosomal RNA
Rfam family: Bacterial small subunit ribosomal RNA
Source: RNAcentral